CCUUAACCUACCCGAACCCUAAACCUCUCCCCUCAUACGAUCUUUCUCCUCAUACGGCUGCGCGACAUGGCGCUGAAACCAAACCUUGAUCCCUUCAGGGCCUUCAUCAACAAUCUGCGACUCCUUCCGCUGCCAUCUGCUUCCCCCGAUCAACCCCCUCCCCUACUCCGUUGUCGGCGUCAUCAAGGACCAGCUUCGAGCCCCCUCGAUCGCCGAGAUGGACCGUGGAUCGGCAGCCCAAAACUCCCACCUGGUGGAGGAGGUGUUCCGCGACAUCAAGGGCCGGCGAGCCGCCAUCAUCAGGGCGCUCACCACCGAUUUCAAGGACUUCUAUCAACAAUGCGAUCCCGGAAACAUGCAGGGAGCAAUUCAAGCACUCCGUUUGCACGGGAAUGCCCUUAAGCGAGGUGUUCUCCAACACAUGCGUGUGAACCCAGCGAUGUUACCUGCUGUAUUUUCACGUUUUGAGUCAGUUUCGCCUACACAGUUGGAAGAGCAUGGUUUUGAAAGCACGAUUAUCCGGGAUGUUCUUACAGCUAAGGGAAGAAUGCUGAUGGUUCCGGGCUGUGGUGCACAACUGAUGACACUGUUUAUGAUGCUGUCAAAUCUAUAAAUGGCCAUUGUGUCAAUCUUAUUUGGGAUUACCAUCCAGCUUUAAAUAGUUUUAACUGAUGGCUUAUGCUCUACUGUUUCUAGAUGACACAACACAAUGUUGGAGCUUUAGUGGUGGUGAGACCCGGAGAAGAGAAGGCAAUUGCUGGAAUUGUUACUGAGAGAGAUUAUCUCCGGAAAAUGAUUGUACAGGGAAGAUCUUUCAAGUCAACUAAAGUUGGUGACAUCAUGACUGAAGAGAAUAAACUGAUCACAGUGACUCCAGAUACCAAGGUUCUGCAGGCAAUGCAACUGAUGAUAGUACAACUUUGUUGGCUGUUUACUAGGACCACGUGGGAACUCCUUAAAAAGAGUUGAAGCUUCAACUCAAUGCAGGGUUUAUAUAUGAGGUCGAGGUUCAGUGAAGGAUUCUAUAAUGAAAGAAAGCUUAUGGGAUAAAUCUGGAUAUGAACACUUAAACGAACCGCUGCACAUACUAUUGGAGGCAGAAUCUACACCAUACAUAAUUGAUGCUCGCUUAAACAAAGCUGUUGCCACCCUUGAAGAUCUUCUGAAGCCUGUGGCAACAAAAACUUUCACUUAGGACGAGUCAAUGGACUACUACAAGAAGCAACAACUCAGGGAGUUGGCCAUACUCAACGACACGUUGAGGGAAGAGAAUCCACAAAUGAGCCCACAAAUGUUCAGGAAGUUGUCCCACAAGAAACAGUUGUAAAUAGAGUUUAUUUGUAUUGAGAUAAAUUUUAUUUGAAUAUGAGACAUGUUUCUUCUUUUAUGAUUAUAAUUCUUGUAUAAGUAACAUUUUGAAUGACAUUGAUAUGGGGAAUAUCUUUCUUUUGUGAUUA
This is a long non-coding RNA of Zingiber officinale, 1457 nucleotides long. RefSeq lists it as uncharacterized. The record is from RefSeq and is a predicted model, not a curated record. Lineage: Eukaryota; Viridiplantae; Streptophyta; Magnoliopsida; Zingiberales; Zingiberaceae. The transcript has 9 exons.